CUGGAGUCUGCAACCCGACUCCACGAAGUUGGAUUCGCUAGUAAUCGCGCAUCAGCCAUGGCGCGGUGAAUACGUUCCCGGGCCUUGUACACACCGCCCGUCAAGCCAUGGGAGCCGGGGGCGCCUGAAGUCCGGGACCGCGAGGACCGGCCUAGGGCGAAACUGGUAACUGGGGCUAAGUCGUAACAAGGUAGC
This 195-nucleotide ribosomal RNA is filed under the name uncultured bacterium. RNAcentral describes it as "partial 16S ribosomal RNA". It matches the Rfam family "Bacterial small subunit ribosomal RNA", at positions 1298 to 1500 of the family's 1533-position model. The record is from RNAcentral.